RNAcentral lists this long non-coding RNA (4865 nucleotides) under Gossypium barbadense (sea-island cotton). Its description in RNAcentral is "long non-coding RNA (GBAR_LNC009834)". Lineage: Eukaryota; Viridiplantae; Streptophyta; Magnoliopsida; Malvales; Malvaceae. The record is from RNAcentral.
ACAAAUUAAACGACAAAAGAAAGGGAAGGUAACCCAGCUUUAUGAGCUGUCAUUUCUAAACCUUGUUGAAAAAAUCUUCUUUCUCAAUUAUAGCAGCUCCUGGAGAAGAUCAAUCGUCUGGCAAAAAUAAAUGGUUCUCUUCUCAAUCUUAAACCUUCGGUUCUUCUUCAACACCAUCCGCGAUCGACUUCAGCGAUUGUAAUAUCCAGACCAUUAUUUCUCUGGGCAAGGUGAGUGGUAUUCUUCAUUUUUAAACCCCUUGUUGCCAGUAUAUGCGCAUGCUCAUUAACUGUUCGUCUGACAUGUUGAAACUUACACUCGUAGAAGGCCUUACUCAGUUCUUUAAUAUUAUGGAUGUGUGCCCCUAUUACCGAUUUAUCUCUAUUUCUGCUUUUGACUCUUUUAAUAAUUGCCAGGGAAUCUCCUUCAAUUUCCACAUAUUUUAACCCCAGAAUCUUCCCCAUUUCAAGUCCGUGUAAACAUGCAAGGGCUUCAGCUGCAAGGUACAUUUUCGUUUAUUGUGGUUGUUGAAUUCAUGACAUCCCCAUUACAGUCUCUGAUGAUGAUUCCUGAGCAUGAUCUGUAGUUUUUAGUAUCCACUGCAGCAUCGAAAUUGAUUUUGCAGAACCCUUGCUCCGGAGGCUUCCACAGCUCUUGAGACAUUCUUGAUGUAGGAUAUAUCUGCUUUAUGGUGUUCAGCUCUUGGAGAUACUCUAAUAUAAAUCUUGCUGUCUCUGUUCCAGAUCUCCGUCGUCCUUCAUAGAUCCAUUGAUUUCUAGCAUGCCAGAUAGCCCAGAUAGCGCAAAUGAACAUACGGCAACUGUCGUUCUCUUUGUUUAGCAUGAACCAGGUAAACCAAUCCAAGAACUCCAAAUGAGAUAAAUCCUGGGGCCAAUCAUAUCGUAAUGUAUUCCAUGUUUCUUUUGUAACAGUGCAAUCACGGAAUAUAUGCUCCCUGUUCUCCAGGCCUUUCUUGCAUCUUGGACAUACUCCCUCGUUUGUUAAUCUUUUGAUUCUUAGAUUCACUAGAGUAGGCAAAUAAUUUAAGGUGGCUCUCGAAACUGUAAUAAGUAUUUUUGAAGGGAGGUCACUAUCCCAUAGCUUGUAACUAUUAUUAGUAAGCAAGUUACCAUGUAAUAACAAUUUAUACCCACUUCGCACUGAGUAUUCACCUGUUGACUCCCCCCUCCAAGCCAGAAAGUUGUCGUGGGGAAUUGUAGUGAGCGGGAUUUGGAGAAUUUUUUGGACAUCAUCUGUUGAGAAGGUGUGUUCGAGCAGCUCUGUUUUCCAUGACCUAUUGUUACUGUCGAUUAGAUCUGCUACCCUCGUUUUACUCUGAUUUCUCACCCCCUGUUGAAUAUGUAAAUUUUCAGCAUUCGGAACCCAUAUAUCCUCUUCAAUUCGAACAUCUCGUCCGUUGCCAAUUCGCCAACAAAGUCCCGACAACAAGAGACCCUUUGCAGCCCAUAUACUUUUCCAAGUGUAUGAGGGUAAGUUUCCUAGUUCUGAGUUUAGGAACUCUGAAUUUGGAUGAUAUUUAGCUUUUAAGGUUUUCGCUAGAAGAGAAGUAGGAUUUUCAAUUAGUCUCCAGCCUUGCUUCGCGAGAAGAGCCAGGUUAAAUUUUGUCAAAUUGCGAUAUCCAAGGCCUCCAUUCUCCUUUAGUUCACAUAAAUUACUCCAAGAGCACCAAUGUAUCCGUCGUUUCCCAUACCCUUUUUGCCACCAGAAAUUUGCUAUUAUUUUUUCAAUGUCUUCACAUACUGAUUUUGGUAACAGAAAGCAGCCCAUCGUAUAAGUUGGAAUUGCUUGCAAAAUAGCCUUUAUGAAGACUUCUUUCCCUCCCUGCGAUAACAACCUUGUGCUCCAGCUAUCAAUUUUUAUCUUGAUGCGAUCUUUUAAAUGUUGAAAAGCCUGGCGUCUCCUUCUUCCCACCAUGUUUGGUAGGCUUAGAUAUUUCUCAGAAUUUGUUGACACCUUAAUCCCUAAUCUAUUUGAAAUAUUAAAUCUGACCAUAUCGUUAGUGUUUGAGCUAAAGAACACAGUUGAUUUCCCAUAAUUACGCAUUGCCCUGAGCAGCUUUCAUAUUCUUUUAAAACUUGUUCGAAAGAACCCGUACCUUCUUCAGAUGCCUCCCCAAAAAGAAUACAAUCAUCAGCGAACAGUAGAUGAGUAAUCUGGGGACUCCUGCAUGCUUUAAUUGCUCUCAGAGACCCUUCCUCUCUUGCGAGUCUUAAUAGAGUCGAUAAACCCUCACUGCAGAUGAGAAAUAAAAAAGGACUCAGCGGAUCUCCUUGACGUAAUCCCCUCAUUGGCCAAAACGUUUUCCCGACUCCACCAUUUAGAAUAACCGAGUAGGAGACUGUGCUUAUACAGUGCAUAAUAAGUCGAAUCCAACUUCCAUCAAAUCCCAUUUUGCCCAUCAUUUGCUCCAAAAAUUCCCAUUCCACCCUAUCGUAUGCCUUGCUCAUAUCGAUCUUUAUUGCCGUAAAACUCUUCUUUCCCACCCUUUUGUUCCUCAUAGAAUGUAGAAUCUCAUAAGCAAGCAAAACAUUAUCAGUGAUUAGUCAACCUGGUAUAAAGGCACUUUGAGCAAGAUCAAUACAAUGUUUAAGGACGUUUUGGAAUCUAUUAGCAAUAGUUUUGGAGAUUAUUUUGUAAAGGACCGAACAAAGGCUAAUUGGUUUAAAAUGUGAUGGGUUUCUCGGAUGAGAAAUCUUCGGGAUUAAAACAAUAUGUGUGAUUAAGGUUUUGCAGAGAUUGUCCUUUAUUGAGAACGUCUAAACAAAAAUCACAAACCUCACCUCUCACUAUGUGUCAAUAUUUUUGAAAAAAGAUUGAUGGGAAGCCGUCAGGACCUGGGGCUUUUGUUGGACCAAUGUUGUUUAGUGCCUCAGUGAUAUCUUCCUCUUUGUAUUUUGCAGUUAACAUAUGGUUUGUUUCCCCACUGAUUUUCCUCGCAACACCUGAAAGAAGAUGGCUAGUGUUGCCAAUCCCAUUGGAGUGGAAGAGCCUCGUAAAAUAGUCUCGUAAAAUCUCUUCAAUUUCUUCCUCUUCUGUUCUAAGAAUACCCUCAUUGUCUUCUAGCCCUCGUAUUUUAUUAAUUUUGCGUCUCUGAGAUGCCAUAUUGUGAAAGAAAGUCGUAUUUCUGUCGCCGUGUCGCAACCAAUUUGUUCGGGCUCUCUGCUCCCAAUACAUCUCUUCCUUCUCCGUCUCCCAAUUUAAUUCUAAUUUCACAUCAAUUAUUUCUGCUAAAAUAUCAUCAUCCCUCUCCAUGUUAUCGAGCUCAGACAGUCAUUCACGGAGAUUCAUUGCUCUUUUCCGAUGUUCUCCCUUAACGUUUUUCUCUCAUCUUUUGAGGGCAACCCGGAUGUGUUCUAAUUUUUCAAGGACAUUUCCAGACGUCUUUGUCCAAACUUCCUUAAUUAGAUCCUCGCAUGACGACUCAGUUAUCCACCAAGACUCAAAUCUAAAGAAACAAUUUCCAAAAUGCUUCAUCAUUGGCGUAGUUUUGAUGAGGAUCGGACAAUGGUCAGAAAAAGAGGGGGGUAAAUUUUGUACGAAAUAAUCGUUAAAUAAAUUCAUCCAUUCCAAGUUUGCAAGCCCCCUGUCAAGCCUCUCCCUUAUAUUUGUAUCCGCGAAAUUUCCCCUUUCCCAUGUAAACUUUUGCCCAUGAAAACCCAUAUCAACUAGAUCAUAUUCUUUUAAAACUCUUCUAAAUUCCUCCAUUUGCCGUUCAUCCUUUACUCUCCCUCCAAUUUUCUCGUGUGCAUACAUAAUCUCGUUAAAAUCCCCACAUACACACCAUGGCAACGAAUACAUCUCUUUUAAUUGGCGGAGUAAAUUCCAUGAUUCCUGUUUAUUUGCUUGUCGUGGAUUCCCAUAGAAGCCGGUGAACCGCCAUUUAUUUUGGUUAUUUUCGUCGGUAAUUCCCACAUCAAUAUGGGAAGUUGAAUAACUGUAAACUUGAAUUAGAUUAUUCCCGUUCCAUGCAAGACUUAAUCCUCCACGAGGACCUUCAGCUGAGACAUCCAAACCAUUUUGAAAACCACGUCUCCGAACACGUUCUCUUAUUAUCUAAUUUUGUCUCCAUCAAGAAGACCAAUUGGGGAUUAUAAAGCUUCAAUGUAUUUUGAAGCCUUCAAAUGGCCCGAGGAUUCCCCAAUCCUCGGACAUUCCAGCUCAGAAGUUUCAUUGCUUCUGGUCAGCUGACCGUUUGGCAUCCGCCGAUAUGGUUUGUGGAAGAGCAUCGUCAUUCUUUAAAGGAGAUAGAAUAGGCUGUAUUGUUGAAAUAACUCCGGAGUACCCAUCAUCGAAUUUUGCUUUUUUUAUUCCGUUUACGGGAUAUACUUCGGGAUCAAGAUCCAGUACCUGUUCAAUUUUUCGCUUUCCAAUUUGACUCUCACUCAUAUUAGAAUCAUUGUUCUCUCUGCUUAACACACGUCGCCACCUCCUUAUCUUUUGUCCCAAAAUAUCUUCAACGUCAUUAGUGGGCCCAUCUAAGGCGGAUUUGUUUUUAAACUGGUCCCCUUCAGUACCUCUAUUUGUGUUAGAAUGUCUUUCCUCUUCUUCAGUGUACCAAUUUUUAUUUAAUUUAUCUUCCCCUUUUAUAGGCGAAACUUGAGGCGAAAGAUAAGCAGUAGUAUCCUUAAAGUUUAGCUGCGAAAUUUUUGUUCCCCUGUUCACAGAGUUCUCUUCUAAGUAAACUUCCUUCACCGUCCGAUUGGUUGUUCUCCUGGGUUCCGGCCGGAUCUCCUCUUCUUUGCGCUAAUCUUCUUUGCACUCCUUUUCCCCUUCUGUAUAGGAACAUUGUUUCAUUGUUUUUUUCAUCAGUGAACCAAAAACUAAACAUUCUUUCCCUAUGGCAG